GGGCCUGUAGCUCCAAUUGGUAGAGCAGCAUCCUUGCAAGAUGACGGCUGUCGGUUCGAAUCCGACCUGGUCCAC
RNAcentral lists this transfer RNA (75 nucleotides) under Mycobacterium phage Catera. Its description in RNAcentral is "tRNA-Ala". It matches the Rfam family "tRNA". Rfam says of the family: Transfer RNA (tRNA) molecules are approximately 80 nucleotides in length. Their secondary structure includes four short double-helical elements and three loops (D, anti-codon, and T loops). RNAcentral also lists the same sequence under 137 other names. Lineage: Duplodnaviria; Heunggongvirae; Uroviricota; Caudoviricetes. The record is from RNAcentral.